GUGCUCGCUUCAGCAGCACAUAUACUAAAAUUGGAACAAUACAGAGAUUAGCAGGACUUCUGGGAAGAAUAUACUGUCAUUUUGGAAACUAUAACUUCUCUU
Suncus etruscus (white-toothed pygmy shrew) is the source of this 102-nucleotide small nuclear RNA. Lineage: Eukaryota; Metazoa; Chordata; Mammalia; Eulipotyphla; Soricidae. The record is from RefSeq and is a predicted model, not a curated record.